RNAcentral lists this ribosomal RNA (347 nucleotides) under uncultured fungus. RNAcentral's name for it is "SSU rRNA". It matches the Rfam family "Eukaryotic small subunit ribosomal RNA", at positions 20 to 370 of the family's 1831-position model. Lineage: Eukaryota; Fungi. The record is from RNAcentral.
GUAGUCAUAUGCUUGUCUCAAAGAUUAAGCCAUGCAUGUCUAAGUAUAAGCAAUCUAUACGGUGAAACUGCGAAUGGCUCAUUAAAUCAGUUAUCGUUUAUUUGAUAGUACCUUACUACUUGGAUAACCGUGGUAAUUCUAGAGCUAAUACAUGCUAAAAACCCCGACUUCUGAAGGGGUGUAUUUAUUAGAUAAAAAACCAAUGCCCUCCGGGGCUCCCUGGUGAUUCAUGAUAACUUAACGAAUCGCAUGGCCUUGCGCCGGCGAUGGUUCAUUCAAAUUUCUGCCCUAUCAACUUUCGAUGGUAGGAUAGUGGCCUACCAUGGUUUCAACGGGUAACGGGGAAU